UAACAAAUUUAGGAUCAACCUCGCCAUACUUGAAGCCGCACCAUCACUAAAACCACCACUCCCCAUCAUCCAAAUUCUUCCAUCACAGUUCCACCUAAAUUCCCCUCAAUUCUCAAUUUAAUUCGCAAUUGAAAAACUAGAAAUUUGUCUUCUGCAAUUAAUUGCAGUUCUUCACCACUCGCAAGUUGCAAGUCCAGCAAAUCCAUCACCGUCGACCACAUAUACUCGCAAGUGCAAUAUACGUUCCUCUUCCUUAUUCAUCGGCGGCUGCCACCCCACUACAGAGCACUUCUCGCACCUCAUUCUCUUGGGUUCACUCGCUCUACUCACUCUUUCUCUCUCUUGGAGUUUUGCCGGCAAAACUCGUAGACCUGUUUCUCUCUAUUCGAUUUCUUCAGCAUCAGGCGGUGCGACUACAGCUUCUGGUGCAGUACAAGACCCAACAACUCCGCUCUCAUCUGAUGGCAGAGCAGAAGCAGCAGCCCCCACAGGCUGAUCUUGAAGACUCGUCGCUUUGCUGACAGCCGUUGAUGGGGAGAGAGGGGAUGGUGAUGCAGCCCCGGUACUUGCUAAUGUGCUCUUUUGAUCAGCGUUUUCAACUGCCAUGUUGUUUCUCUUAUCGACAUUCAGAGUUGUGGUUGACUCAGAAAUAUCUCCUUGCUUUACCUUACAUUUUGGCUUGGCAUGGAUUCCUGUGUACAGCCCCGGUAUUUUUGCACAACUCUGUGUGGUUAAGUACAUUACAUUGCAUGCAUACUGUGUUAAAUAGCACCCUACUUAGGAGUAAAUUUUAGUGGAAGAGCAACUUGAUUGAUAAUUAUGAGAUUCAUAUUGAUUGUAUUUUAUUAAAACUUAAUGAUUACAUCACUACAAUUAUUUUACC
Molecule: long non-coding RNA, 883 nt
Organism: Beta vulgaris subsp. vulgaris (sugar beet)
Lineage: Eukaryota; Viridiplantae; Streptophyta; Magnoliopsida; Caryophyllales; Amaranthaceae
Exons: 3
Source: RefSeq, a predicted model, not a curated record